UACGUAGGGUGCAAGCGUUGUCCGGAAUUAUUGGGCGGUAAAGAGCUCGUAGGCGGUUUGUUGCGUCGGCUGUGAAAUCCCGAGGCUCAAACCUCGGGUCUGCAGUCGAUACGAGCAAACUAGAGUGUUGCAGGGAGACUGGAUUCCUGGUGUAGCGGUGAAAUGACGCAGAUAUCAGGAGGAACACCGGUGGCGAAGGCGGGGUCUCUGGGGCAACAACUGACG
Molecule: ribosomal RNA, 225 nt
Filed under: uncultured bacterium
Lineage: Bacteria
Description: partial 16S ribosomal RNA
Rfam family: Bacterial small subunit ribosomal RNA
Source: RNAcentral